GGCGAAUCAACUAUUCCCCACUAUCACUCGCCAUGAACUCUGCACAGAAAAGGAAGUCGAGGCCGCGCAGACAACGUGCUGCGGAAAGAGCGAGCGCUCGAGCAGAGACGUGCGCGCCGCACGGACGCGCGCCUCCUAUCGACAGGUAUUACAAUCGAAUCCUUGUGGGACAUUUGAUCUCAAUAACAUAGCAAUACCAGUACACACCCACACACAGCCACCCUUGCCCCUUGAAAGUGUGAGGCUCCCCAGAGGGCCCCGGCCUCCUGAUUGAGAGCAACUGACCUAGUGGAGAAAACCUUUUCAUUUGCUGCAGAUGAAAGCUCCAUCGCAAUGCGUAGCUGUUCAUCAAAACUGGUGGCCACAGCAAAUGCUCCCGGCGCCCGAGGCUCGGUCAGUGAGCUGUAAGACGGAGCAGGCUCUGUUGAAUGGCGAACUGGAGUAAAUUAUCAUCUUCAUCCCUCAUCGGUUCGCUGCGGCCUGGUCCAAGUGUGGUGUAUUCUGGGGGAGGCUCAAACACAGAUGGGUCGACUUCACACUGCAGAGGGGGAGGCGUCUGACCUGAGAGCAGCGAGGAGAUUGUACAGUAACAGAACUGACCGGUUCAUCGCAGCCACACAGAUUGCUGAAUGUCACUCGAGCAUUCAACACGUGGAAGAGAGGAAUUUCUAAGAAUCAGGACAAUGAGAAAGCCAGGUGGCAGGCGUAGGGUGAUGAAGUCACGCAGUUUGGCAAAGUGGGCGUUAGAAAUGGCCAUGAGGUCAAUGAUGGGCGUCACCUGCUCAGCCAGCGAGAGAGGAUGAACUUCACUC
Long non-coding RNA from Carassius auratus (goldfish), 812 nucleotides. RefSeq lists it as uncharacterized. The record is from RefSeq and is a predicted model, not a curated record. The transcript has 7 exons. Lineage: Eukaryota; Metazoa; Chordata; Actinopteri; Cypriniformes; Cyprinidae.